GCAUCCCACCACAGAGAAUGACAUAGAGGUCAAAAUGUAAAGCAAGUUCUCUAUUUUGGGACUGAGACCUGCCUGACCAACUCCUUUAGGCUUCCUCCCUACAUGUCACAAAUCUGAUCCCUCUUACUGCAAGAAACUCCUUUUCAUUAAAGCUGCAAGUCUCGAAAGACAGGCUAACAUUGACAUCUCUUUAAUUUGCCUAUCACUCAUCUUGCCUCUCCCUUCUGGCAAUGUGAUCAUCAAUUAUUGACUUUGGAGUACACUUGGAAGCAUCACGAGUAACAUGUUCCAAACCACUUUUUGAAAUACGUCAUCAGACUGUGAAUUUCUGGCUUCAUCUGGCUGGUCUUACUACAUAAAGGCCCCUGGUAGGCAGAGUCUUACAGGAGGAGGAAGAGAAGGAAAUUCAGAUUCCUGCUGAGACUCCUUGGGGACAGCCAGACAUGAAGACCCUGAUGCUUUUAGGACUUGUGCUCUUGUGUAGCCAGUUCACACUGAGCUUGGCCCAGGAGGAAGAACAAGGCUCAAAAGUCAUCUCAGAGGUCGCUAACAGUUUGCAGAAUACUCUGACAAAUGCUGUGAAAGAGCUCAACAAGGUGGACUUGAUAAAAGAAAUUGAGGACGCACCAAUUAUUGGAAAUGUGCUGAAGGCAUUGAGUGGAAUGAUUGGGAAAAUAGUUUCGUUCAACAUUAAAAAUGCCCAACUCCUGAAAAUUUCCCUCACAGAAAAUCAAGACAAAAAGAGUCUCUCUCUCAGUGUGCCCUUGGAUGUCUCUCUGAGUUUGAACACAUUGCUUCUCAAGGCGAUUGAUAUCACUCUAAAUGCGAACACAUCACUUGAACUCACAACUGAAAAGAAUGAAGAUGGAGAAGCUCGCCUGAGUGUUUCCAAAUGUCAGACAAGCUCUCAACUUCUUAAAAUCUCAUCCCAGCAAACGGGUUUAUUUGGAUGGGGACUAGAAGCUUUAUCUAAAUCCGUGAGCCGACUUGCUGAGUGGGAGGUCAAGCAAUUAGUCAACAUUCUCAAGUGUGAUGGGUCCAUAGGUCAACUCCCAGGUCAGUUCUGCCCUUUGAUCAGAACCGUAGUAGGACUGGCGCCUCCAGCACUGGUAGGCGCUUUGCAUGUUCUAAUCUGGCCCCUUCCCUGAUGGAGUGACUGAGAACUGAGUCAAAGCAGCAG
Vombatus ursinus (common wombat) is the source of this 1180-nucleotide long non-coding RNA. Lineage: Eukaryota; Metazoa; Chordata; Mammalia; Diprotodontia; Vombatidae. The record is from Ensembl.